Molecule: ribosomal RNA, 468 nt
Filed under: uncultured bacterium
Lineage: Bacteria
Description: partial 16S ribosomal RNA
Rfam family: Bacterial small subunit ribosomal RNA
Source: RNAcentral
GACGAACGCUGGCGGCGUGCUUAACACAUGCAAGUCGAACGGAAAGGCCCUGCUUUUGUGGGGUGCUCGAGUGGCGAACGGGUGAGUAACACGUGAGUAACCUGCCCUUGACUUUGGGAUAACUUCAGGAAACUGGGGCUAAUACCGGAUAGGAGCUCCUGCUGCAUGGUGGGGGUUGGAAAGUUUCGGCGGUUGGGGAUGGACUCGCGGCUUAUCAGCUUGUUGGUGGGGUAGUGGCUUACCAAGGCUUUGACGGGUAGCCGGCCUGAGAGGGUGACCGGCCACAAUGGGACUAAGAUACGGACCAGACUCCUACGGGAGGCAGCAGUGGGGAAUAUGGCACAAUGGGCGGAAGCCUGAGGCAGCGACGCCGCGUGCGGGAUGACGGCCUUCGGGUUGUAAACCGCUUUCGCCUGUGACGAAGCGUGAGUGACGGUAAUGGGUAAAGAAGCACCGGCUAACUACGUG